This 500-nucleotide ribosomal RNA is filed under the name uncultured Glomeromycotina. RNAcentral describes it as "partial small subunit ribosomal RNA". It matches the Rfam family "Eukaryotic small subunit ribosomal RNA", at positions 591 to 1092 of the family's 1831-position model. Lineage: Eukaryota; Fungi; Glomeromycota. The record is from RNAcentral.
CCAAUAGCGUAUAUUAAAGUUGUUGCAGUUAAAAAGCUCGUAGUUGAAUUUCGGGGUUAGUAGGUUGGUCAUGCCUCUGGUAUGUACUGGUCUCACUGAUUCCUCCUUCCUGAUGAACCUUAAUGCCAUUUAUUUGGUGUUUUGGGGAAUUUGGACUGUUACUUUGAAAAAAUUAGAGUGUUUAAAGCAAGCUAACGCUUGAAUACAUUAGCAUGGAAUAAUGAAAUAGGACGUUCGAUCCUAUUUUGUUGGUUUCUAGGAUUGACGUAAUGGUUAAUAUGGAUAGUUGGGGGCAUUAGUAUUCAAUUGUCAGAGGUGAAAUUCUUGGAUUUAUUGAAGACUAACUACUGCGAAAGCAUUUGCCAAGGAUGUUUUCAUUAAUCAAGAACGAAAGUUAGGGGAUCGAAGACGAUCAGAUACCGUCGUAGUCUUAACCAUAAACUAUGCCGACUAGGGAUCGGAUGAUGUUAAUUUUUUAAUGACUCAUUCGGCGCCUUACG